UCUAAAAUGGCAGAAUUAAUGCAAAGGAUUUAAACCCCUUAAAUAAAGUAAAAUCUUUUUUUAGAA
Molecule: transfer RNA, 66 nt
Filed under: Dipseudopsis sp. XG-2021
Lineage: Eukaryota; Metazoa; Arthropoda; Insecta; Trichoptera; Dipseudopsidae
Description: tRNA-Leu
Rfam family: tRNA
About the family: Transfer RNA (tRNA) molecules are approximately 80 nucleotides in length. Their secondary structure includes four short double-helical elements and three loops (D, anti-codon, and T loops).
Source: RNAcentral